UGGGGAAUAUUGGACAAUGGGCGCAAGCCUGAUCCAGCCAUGCCGCGUGAGUGAUGAAGGCCCUAGGGUUGUAAAGCUCUUUCGGUGGUGAGGUGGUGGUGAAUAGCCACUGCAAUUGACGCUAGCCACAGAAGAAGCACCGGCUAACUCU
Molecule: ribosomal RNA, 151 nt
Filed under: uncultured bacterium
Lineage: Bacteria
Description: partial 16S ribosomal RNA
Rfam family: Bacterial small subunit ribosomal RNA
Source: RNAcentral